Molecule: unclassified non-coding RNA, 329 nt
Filed under: soil metagenome
Description: partial contains 5.8S ribosomal RNA, internal transcribed spacer 2, and large subunit ribosomal RNA
Rfam family: 5.8S ribosomal RNA (bases 2-120)
Source: RNAcentral
UAUGAAGAACGCAGCGAAAUGCGAUAAGUAGUGUGAAUUGCAGAAUUCAGUGAAUCAUCGAAUCUUUGAACGCACAUUGCGCCCCUUGGUAUCCCGAGGGGCAUGCCUGUUCGAGCGUCAUUUCACCACUCAAGCCUGGCUUGGUGUUGGGCGACGUCCCCUUUGGGGACGCGCCUCGAAACGCUCGGCGGCGUGGCACCGGCUUUAAGCGUAGCAGAAUCUUUCGCUUUGGAAGUCGGGGCCCCGUCUGCCAGAAGACCUACUCGCAAGGUUGACCUCGGAUCAGGCAGGGAUACCCGCUGAACUUAAGCAUAUCAAUAAGCGGAGGA